Molecule: unclassified non-coding RNA, 345 nt
Filed under: soil metagenome
Description: partial contains 5.8S ribosomal RNA, internal transcribed spacer 2, and large subunit ribosomal RNA
Rfam family: 5.8S ribosomal RNA (bases 1-119)
Source: RNAcentral
GAUGAAGAACGCAGCGAAAUGCGAUACGUAAUGUGAAUUGCAAAUUCAGUGAAUCAUCGAGUCUUUGAACGCUCAUUGCGCCCCCUGGUAUUCCGGGGGGCAUGCCUGUCCGAGCGUCAUUGCUGCCCUCAAGCACGGCUUGUGUGUUGGGCCCCGUCCUCCGAUCCCGGGGGACGGGCCCGAAAGGCAGCGGCGGCACCGCGUCCGGUCCUCGAGCGUAUGGGGCUUUGUCACCCGCUCUGUAGGCCCGGCCGGCGCUUGCCGAUCAACCCAAAUUUUUAUCCAGGUUGACCUCGGAUCAGGUAGGGAUACCCGCUGAACUUAAGCAUAUCAAUAAGCGGAGGA